Long non-coding RNA from Rana temporaria (common frog), 181 nucleotides. RefSeq lists it as uncharacterized. NCBI's taxonomy places the organism in Eukaryota, Metazoa, Chordata, Amphibia, Anura, Ranidae. The transcript has 3 exons. The record is from RefSeq and is a predicted model, not a curated record.
AAGUAGAGAGGAGACAUUUUUGGAACUGGCAGCAGUGGAGUGAUUCUUGUAUAGAUCGCACAACCAACGAGGAUGGAGGAGGAUCGGAGUCACAUGAAUGAGAAGAUACUAAACCUCACCCUGGAGAUCAUCUACCUGCUGACCGGAGAGAGAUUUCCUCUUGCGAAGUCAGGUGAUCAUA